GGCCACUUACUAUCAUUCUCAGAGGUGAAAUAGUACACUUGUCUAGACUCACAAUAACCGAAAACUUAGCUUCACUCGUUGUAAUCUUAGGAGCGAUUGUUUAGUCUCUAAUCGCUCCUGUAAGGCCGACGAGACAUCAAUUUAAUGGCACUUUUUUAGACUAUUGAAGAAUAGCGAGUAAUUUUCUACAAUUUAAAAAUAUGUGCGCACAUUACCAUCCCCCAAUGAAGCAAUAAGUUCUCGAUAGACAGUGUAUUCUCUGAGAAGGGUUUGUGGUCCAUAUUGAUGUCUUCUUUAGUAAACUGAUGUUU
Episyrphus balteatus (marmalade hoverfly) is the source of this 311-nucleotide small nucleolar RNA. The record is from RefSeq and is a predicted model, not a curated record. NCBI's taxonomy places the organism in Eukaryota, Metazoa, Arthropoda, Insecta, Diptera, Syrphidae.